This 407-nucleotide ribosomal RNA is filed under the name uncultured bacterium. RNAcentral describes it as "partial 16S ribosomal RNA". It matches the Rfam family "Bacterial small subunit ribosomal RNA", at positions 30 to 526 of the family's 1533-position model. The record is from RNAcentral.
AUUGAACGCUAGCGGGGUGCUUUACACAUGCAAGUCGAACGGAGUCGCGGACGGGUGAGUAAUAUAUCGGAACUUGCCCAGUAGCGGGGGAUAACUACUCGAACGAGUGCCUAAUACCGCAUACCUUUGGCUCGGCCGUUAUGGGAUGAGCUAUUUGGUGGUGUAAAGGCUCACCACGGCAACGAUCCAUAGCUGGUUUGAGAGGGCGACCAGCCACACUGGGACUGAGACACGGCCCAGACUCCUACGGGAGGCAGCAGUGGGGAAUUUUGGACAAUGGGGGAAACCCUGAUCCAGCCAUCCCGCGUGUAUGAUGAAGGCCUUCGGGUUGUAAAGUACUUUUGGCAGAGAAGCGGUAUCUGCAGAAUAAGCACCGGCUAACUACGUGCCAGCAGCCGCGGUAAUAC